RNAcentral lists this ribosomal RNA (253 nucleotides) under uncultured bacterium. Its description in RNAcentral is "partial 16S ribosomal RNA". It matches the Rfam family "Bacterial small subunit ribosomal RNA", at positions 524 to 776 of the family's 1533-position model. The record is from RNAcentral.
UACGAAGGGGGCUAGCGUUGCUCGGAAUCACUGGGCGUAAAGGGCGCGUAGGCGGAUCUUUAAGUCGGGGGUGAAAGCCCAGGGCUCAACCCUGGAAUUGCCUUCGAUACUGAAGAUCUCGAGACCGGAAGAGGUAAGUGGAACUGCGAGUGUAGAGGUGAAAUUCGUAGAUAUUCGCAAGAACACCAGUGGCGAAGGCGGCUCUCUAGUACGGUACUGACGCUGAGACGCGAAAGCGUGGGGAGCGAACAGG